Molecule: ribosomal RNA, 464 nt
Filed under: uncultured bacterium
Lineage: Bacteria
Description: partial 16S ribosomal RNA
Rfam family: Bacterial small subunit ribosomal RNA
Source: RNAcentral
GACGAACGCUGGCGGCGUGCUUAACACAUGCAAGUCGAACGGAAAGGCCCUGCUUGCAGGGUACUCGAGUGGCGAACGGGUGAGUAACACGUGGGUGAUCUGCCCUGCACUUCGGGAUAAGCCUGGGAAACUGGGUCUAAUACCGGAUAGGAGCCAUUUUUAGUGUGAUGGUUGGAAAGUUUUUUCGGUGUAGGAUGAGCUCGCGGCCUAUCAGCUUGUUGGUGGGGUAAUGGCCUACCAAGGCGGCGACGGGUAGCCGGCCUGAGAGGGUGGACGGCCACAUUGGGACAGAGAUACGGCCCAGACUCCUACGGGAGGCAGCAGUGGGGAAUAUUGCACAAUGGGCGCAAGCCUGAUGCAGCGACGCCGCGUGGGGGAUGACGGCCUUCGGGUUGUAAACUCCUUUCGCUAGGGACGAAGCUUUUUGUGACGGUACCUAGAUAAGAAGCACCGGCUAACUACGU